RNAcentral lists this ribosomal RNA (459 nucleotides) under Streptococcus mitis. RNAcentral describes it as "bacterial SSU rRNA". It matches the Rfam family "Bacterial small subunit ribosomal RNA", at positions 28 to 475 of the family's 1533-position model. Lineage: Bacteria; Bacillati; Bacillota; Bacilli; Lactobacillales; Streptococcaceae. The record is from RNAcentral.
GACGAACGCGGCGGCGUGCCUAAUACAUGCAAGUAGAACGCUGAAGGAGGAGCUUGCUUCUCUGGAUGAGUUGCGAACGGGUGAGUAACGCGUAGGUAACCUGCCUGGUAGCGGGGGAUAACUAUUGGAAACGAUAGCUAAUACCGCAUAAGAGUAGAUGUUGCAUGACAUUUGCUUAAAAGGUGCAAUUGCAUCACUACCAGAUGGACCUGCGUUGUAUUAGCUAGUUGGUGAGGUAACGGCUCACCAAGGCAACGAUACAUAGCCGACCUGAGAGGGUGAUCGGCCACACUGGGACUGAGACACGGCCCAGACUCCUACGGGAGGCAGCAGUAGGGAAUCUUCGGCAAUGGACGGAAGUCUGACCGAGCAACGCCGCGUGAGUGAAGAAGGUUUUCGGAUCGUAAAGCCCUGUUGUAAGAGAAGAAACGAGUGUGAGAGUGGAAAAGUUCACCACUG